Molecule: ribosomal RNA, 279 nt
Filed under: uncultured bacterium
Lineage: Bacteria
Description: partial 16S ribosomal RNA
Rfam family: Bacterial small subunit ribosomal RNA
Source: RNAcentral
UGACAUCCGCCGCGGUAAUCCUGAGGGGUCGCUCGUUAUUCGGAAUUACUGGGCGUAAAGGGUGCGUAGGCGGCCCAUCAAGUUAGACGUGAAAGCCCCGGGCUCAACCUGGGAAUUGCGUUUAAUACUGGUGAGCUAGAGUACGAGAGAGGAAAGUGGAAUUCCUAGUGUAGAGGUGAAAUUCGUAGAUAUUAGGAAGAACACCAGUGGCGAAGGCGACUUUCUGGCUCGUAACUGACGCUGAGGUGCGAGAGCGUGGGGAGCAAACAGGAUUAGAUA